AACAAAACAAUAGAGAAGCAGAAAACUGUGAUUGAUAAGAUAAAUU
This 46-nucleotide non-coding RNA is filed under the name Trypanosoma brucei brucei. Lineage: Eukaryota; Euglenozoa; Kinetoplastea; Trypanosomatida; Trypanosomatidae. The record is from RNAcentral.